RNAcentral lists this ribosomal RNA (500 nucleotides) under uncultured bacterium. RNAcentral describes it as "partial 16S ribosomal RNA". It matches the Rfam family "Bacterial small subunit ribosomal RNA", at positions 28 to 507 of the family's 1533-position model. The record is from RNAcentral.
GACGAACGCUGGCGGCGUGCCUAAUACAUGCAAGUCGAGCGGACUUGAAGGAGUGCUUGCACUCCUGAGAGUUAGCGGCGGACGGGUGAGUAACACGUAGGCAACCUGCCCUCAAGACUGGGAUAACUACCGGAAACGGUAGCUAAUACCGGAUAAUUUAUUACAUAGCAUUAUGUGAUAAUGAAGGACGGAGCAAUCUGUCACUUGGGGAUGGGCCUGCGGCGCAUUAGCUAGUUGGUGGGGUAACGGCCCACCAAGGCGACGAUGCGUAGCCGACCUGAGAGGGUGAACGGCCACACUGGGACUGAGACACGGCCCAGACUCCUACGGGAGGCAGCAGUAGGGAAUCUUCCGCAAUGGGCGAAAGCCUGACGGAGCAACGCCGCGUGAGUGAUGAAGGUUUUCGGAUCGUAAAGCUCUGUUGCCAAGGAAGAACGUCUCAUAGAGAAACUGCUAUGAGAGUGACGGUACUUGAGAAGAAAGCCCCGGCUAACUACGUG